GAGAAAGCCUGCACCCUCCUCACAGAUCCUCCAAGAGGAAAACCUGAAAAUCAGGGAAUCCAGCCCUGCCUCCUGUCCCUGUUGGCCGGGUGUGACAGCAGCUACUGUGUCCUCCACGCGCACAUCACAGCAUCACCCUGAGCAGUGUCUGGCCCCUGCACCCCACUGUCCCACAGCCUCGUCUGUGGGAAGGUCACCCCUGUUCCAGGGCACUGUGCCUGAGCGGGGAGCACCAAGCCAGGGUUCAUGGCAGGGUCAACUGACUCACUCCACCCACCCCUUGACGCCGGGAGCUGGAAUCACCGCCCUCCAUCGCCUGUGUUUAUUAUCUCUGUGGGACCUUUGUGCCGGCUGGGAGCGGCGUGUUGACGUUUCUUGCGUGCCCAUGGUGACGGCGCAGUGUCACCGCUCCGGUGUCACCCUUGCCCACCGCACCCCUGCUCGACCGGGGCAGGGCCCCACUAUUUAACGGGUGCCCGACAGCCGGGAGAGCCGUGCUGGGGACAGGAAUCUCGAGUGCUGCCGGCAUUGCCUCUUCUGGGGACUUUUCUGCAGCUCGGAGACUACUGAGGAUGUGUGACCCCAACCAAGGCCUGCCACAACCAUACCUUGCAGUGUGCCCUCCUGCCCCUCCAGGAUACCCUGGUCCUGGCACAGGUCCCUACCCUGGUGGCAUUGCAGUUUGCCCUGCUGCCCCUCCGGGACACCCUGGUCCUGGCACAGGUCCCUGCCCUGGUGGUGUGGCAGUCUGCCCCCCUCACCCUGGUCCACCUGGCCAGCACCCUCACGGGCACCCCCCGUCAGGGCAUCAUCCCCACGGGCACCAGGAGCACCAUAAGAAGCAUGAUAAGAAGCACCAUAAGAAGAAGCACAGCAAACACCAUGGAGGCAAGCCCUCUGGUGGCUCCUGCAGCUCAAGCAGCUCAAGCAGCAGCUCUGACUCUGACUGAACAUCUGGCAUGUCUCACCUGCUCUGCGAUGAUCAGCAAAACAUGAAGCCAAACUCCUUAUGGGAAUUGUCUGCAUGUCGAUCCCCUCCCUCCCCCUUCCCCUUGGAGCAAUGUUUUGCCUGCUGAGUGAUUUUUCUUGUGUGUAGAUUGUAAAUCCUUUGACCCAGAAUCUCUGAGUCAAUGGACAUUUCCACCCUCUAUCUUUUGGGAGAGCCUGCUGAAAGUCAUCACAUGCUGUUUUCCAAUCUGCUGGUCUCCGUGUG
Molecule: long non-coding RNA, 1213 nt
Filed under: Cyanoderma ruficeps (rufous-capped babbler)
Lineage: Eukaryota; Metazoa; Chordata; Aves; Passeriformes; Timaliidae
Description: lncRNA (ENSCRFG00000011477.1)
Source: RNAcentral